GACGAACGCUGGCGGCGUGCCUAAUACAUGCAAGUAGAACGCACAGUUUGUACCUUAGCUUGCUACACCAUAGACAGUGAGUUGCGAACGCGUGAGUAACGCGUAGGUAACCUGCCUGACAGCGGGGGAUAACUAUUGAUAACGCUAGCUAAUACCGCAUAAUAUUAAUUAUUGCUUGAUAAUUAAUUUAAAGGUGCAAUUGCACCACUACCAGCUGGACCUUCGUUGUAUUAGCUAGUAGGGGAGGUAACGGCUCCCCUAGGCGAAGGUACAUAGCCGAGCUGGGAGGGUGGUCGGCCACAAUGGGACUGGGACAACGCCCAGACUCCUACGGGAGGCAGCAGUAGGGAAACUUCGGCAAUGGACGAAAGUCUGACUGAGCCACGCCGCGUGGGGGAAGAAGGUUUUCGGAUCGUAAAGGUCCGUUGUAAGGGGAGAACGGGUGUGAGGGUGGAAAGUUCCUACUGUGACGGUAUCUUACGAGAAAGCGACGGCUAACUACGUG
Molecule: ribosomal RNA, 505 nt
Filed under: uncultured bacterium
Lineage: Bacteria
Description: partial 16S ribosomal RNA
Rfam family: Bacterial small subunit ribosomal RNA
Source: RNAcentral